Molecule: long non-coding RNA, 4820 nt
Filed under: Homo sapiens (human)
Lineage: Eukaryota; Metazoa; Chordata; Mammalia; Primates; Hominidae
Description: HSALNT0320220
Source: RNAcentral
AGACAAGGUCAUCUAUGCUGGAGUGCAGUGGCGUGCUCUCGGCUCACUGCAACCUCCACCUCCCGGGUUCAAGCAAUUCUCAUCUCACCUUCCUGAGUAUCUGGAGUUGCAGCGUGAGCCACUGCGCCUGGCUAAUUGUUUUGUAUUUUUAUUAGAGUUAGGGUUUCACCAUGUUUGCCCGGCUGGUCGCAAACUCCCGGCUCCAAGUGAUCCGCCCGCCUUGGCCCCCAAAGUGCUGGGCUUGCAGAUGUGAGCUACUGUGCGCAGCCUUUAUAAACAAUUUUGAUAUAUGGUGAAAUUUCUCAAAGCUUGCUGAUCAUAGUGAAUUAUGCUGAUAAGAAUGGGAAACAAGAUUAUUGGGAAUAAAUUGAAAAAUAUUAAAUAGGUUUUUAUGCGUCAAGGGUAAAAAAAAUGUGUUUUGAGUAAAUGAUCUGAAAUACAGCAUGCUUUUUUGGUAAAAGCUUAGUAUAAUGUAGGGUGAAGUUAAGGCGUUGGCGAUAACCAGAAUCAUAAUUCUCAUUUUAAAUAAUGCUAUGCUACAUCUGCACAAAAUAGAUUAUGUAUAUUUUUGGCUGCUGUACCAUGAAAAUGAUGACUAAAACGAGGUCUAGAGAGGGAUAGUUUAAAAAUGAUGGGAAUUUUGCCUCCCCCUUUCCUUUUCCCAAAAAUACUAUUAGCUUGCCUAAUUUAACCUUUCACUUUUUUUAUCCCCAUCUUCCCCCACAAAAGAAAGGAAUAGAAAAGAAAAAUACGAAAGUGAAGAAAUAAGAACCUGCUCUAAAGUUAUUUCUUGGUCUGGGUUUCUUUAUGGAUCAUCUCUUAAUUAGCUUAAAAACAUUUGAUUGAAACCUAUUUUGGAAGUAUCUAUGGAAAGAAUUAAUCAUUACCUGAAAUACGUCUUUUCAUUCUUUUUCCUUGUUAUGUUGUAGUGAAAUUAUCACAAAGAGCAGAGAGUAAAUGCUGCUAACAGUUGGUGUAUAUCAAAUGUUUGUUUCUUUCUUGAGACUGAGUGCGUGUGUGUGUGUGUUAGAAUCGGGACUAUGUAACAAUAACUAUAGCAAAAUAUCUCUUAGUCCUAAGUUUUGGAAACCAGCUGAUUCUCUUAUUUACUGGUCUCUGUGCUAGGCUAGCUCCUCUCUCCCUUAGGUUUCCUGGCUACCUCGAGAGGAUCUGAAAUAAUAGUCUUGGAUGAUGUAUCAGUAAGGGUUUAACCAGAGAAGCAGAGCAAGUAGAUUUAUAUAUGAUUGUUAUGUAUUAAGAGAUUUAUUACAAGGAAUUUGGCUUACAUGAUUGUGAGGGCUGGCUAAGCAAGUGUGAAAUCUGUACGGCAGGCAGUUAGUGGGAGAAGAUUGUGGGCAAGGUGGAAUCCAUGGGCUUAGGCUGAAGCUGUUCUCCAUAGGCAGUCAGGAAGGGAAGAUACAGCGAAGAGAGAACAAUUGUAGACUCAGCUGCUGUUUGGAGUCUCAUUUGCUCGGAAGAACCUGAUCUCUUUUAAGAGCUCACCUGACUAGGUCAGGCUCACUGAGGAUGAUCACCCUGGCUUAAAGUCAGUUGAUUAGGAACUUCAAUUACAUCUGCAAAAUCCCCUCACAGCAGUACCUAGAUUAGCAUUUGACUGAAUAAUUGAGAGAAGGUAUUUGUGCUACAAAAUGUCUGCUGUCCUGUCUUCUUUCUAAGAAGAAACCAUUACAGGUGGAAAAGCAACACUCUUAACUUGAUCUUUGCUACUACCUGACAGAGAACCCUUGAACUCACAAAGUUAUUUCCUGGUAUUUAGAGCACAGAAGCAGCUGCCUUUUCCAUCCUGGGAGGCCCCAAAUUACUGGACUCUUGUAGGUCGGAGUUUGCCACUGAGAAAGCUUCUUUUUAGUAGCACUGUUUUCAUGUCUGUCUCUGCUUGCAAACUGCUUUAUAGGUGAAUUGAUCUUUCUUGUUGAUCUUUAAAUAGCCAACACACCAUAUUUCGAGUUUUUCUAACUGCUUUUCUUAGAACUACAAACUUAGUAGGCAUAUGAUGUGCCCUUCCAAUUAUUGCAGGCAAGAGUUUUACUAAAUGUUCUGCAACUGUAUAGCACAGAUCAUUAGAUCUCCAGCCUGAGAUGUUUCCUUGCUACCUGUUCUCUAAGCCUUACCAGAGAUUUUAGGAGUUUGUUAGAGCAGCGUGUCAUUUCCAAUUAACUGUAUUAGUUAAGUUUUUUGCCUUAACUGAAUUCUAGUACAGAAGUACUUUUAUGAAGAAAAUAUAAGCAAUGCCAGCAUCUAUAUAGUGUUCUUACUGAUUUGAUGAUGCCCUUAGGUUGUCUUUGAACUUGAAAAUCUCUAUACAUUAUUAUUGCAGGACCUAUAAACUAUGACUGUUGUGUAGUUCUCUUGCACUAUCUUUCCAAUGUUCUUUGAAGAACUGUUUCACUGUUUAUUUUAUCUAUUUCAAAUGAACUAGGAGUAAUUUAAAACUUACAUAGUUGCUGUUCAGAAAAUGUCAAAAAAGAAGAGCUUGUAUAAGAUACAAUGUAGAUAAAUUUAAUUCUAUUGAGGGGGUAAUAUCCUUUUAAGAUACAAUGUAGAUAAAUUUAAUUCUAUUGAGGGGGUAAUAUCCUUUAAACCAAACUUGUCUAAAGUUUUCACCAAAUGUUAAACUGUGAGUAAUGUUUUCUUUUUAUUUAUCCAUUUGAUUUUUUUAUAUUGGAGGAAUCUUAAAAUUGCAGUAUCUUUUUCCACUUUUAUUAAAUCAUAUAGUAACUGUGAACUGAAAAUUUAAACAGUAGAGGAAGAUACAGAGUAAGAGUUGAAGAUUUUUUAUAUCCCUAGGUGUAAAUUGUAAGUGUAUGUAAUCCUAUGCCUUUUUCUGUGCAUUUUCACACAUAUACAGAUAUAUCUAUGUAAUUUUGUUUUGCAUAAAUGAGAUCAUUAUAAAAAUAUUGUUUGAAACUUUCUUUUUAAAUUAAUAUUCCAUCAUAGAUUUUCACGUUAAUACACAUAUAGUUAUCUUAGUCCUUUAAAUGGCUGUGAGUAUUCCCUUGUCAGGUAUCAGGACUUAAUUGCUUUCCAGUUUAUGGAAAUUUUGGUUGUAUCCAAAGUUCUGCUGUUACAAACAAUACUGAAGUGGACUUUUUGAUAUUGUUUCUGUAUUGUGGUAAGAUAUAUUCCAGAGGUAAAACUGCUAGACCAAAGGUAUGGGAAUCUAUUUCUGUAACUGACAUUUUAUUGUGUGUCAGCACUGUAUUUUAAAAACUAGUGAUUUUGUAGUGGUAUAGGAUCUGAUAGGUCAAACAUCAGCUUUCAAGCCCUGUUCAUCUCUGUUCUUUCUGGAUAUCCCUCUCUGUUGACUACUUUAUCCAUAAAAGGGCCAGAUCAUAUAUCACCUCUUUCCUGAAGGUGUUUAUAACACCUAGAACAUUGAAUAAUUUUAACCCCAGUAAUAGUUUAGUGAGUGCUUACUGUGUGCCAGCCACAAUUCUAAUUGGUUUAUGUGUAUUACACUGCUGUAUAUCAUUUAAUCUUCCCAGUUCUAAGAGGUACAUAGUAUCUACACUUUGUAGUUGAAAAAAUCAAGGUAAAGAAUAAGUAACUUGUUCAAGGUCACAGUAAGUGAUGGAAAUGGAAUAUAAACAUGGGUAGUCUCACAUGAAAGUCUGCUUUCUUAACUCUCAUAUUGUACUGCCUUCUUACCAUCCUUUUAUGGCCUCCCUAGUAAUUGCUCAAGAAAUAUGUUUUGUAUGCAUUGUAGAGUUCACUAGCCAUUUCAUCUUGCUUCUAAGUCCUCUUUACAGAUCUGUAUGAAUACCGUCUUACUCAAAUUUAUGUAUAGUGACCUAUCCCCAAGUAGGAUAACCAGAGAGAAAUGAUGGAGUAAGGAGGGUUAUGGAAGACCUCCUUACUCCAAAACACUUUACCUGAAUGUAGCUAGUUAAUACUGCUCUGUUUUAUUUCAUCUUGUUUCCCUAACUCCUGUCUUGGGAACAUUCAUGGAUUAAUCUUGGGAUGGAUUUCAUAGGUGGAAUAAAUGGGAAUGUCACUCUUCAAUAUUUCUGAAACAUCAAAUCAAAAUACAUACCUUGUAGAUUACCUCUUACAGUAAGUGCUCAAAAUGUGAAGUGGGAAGAAUGCUGUUUUAGACCCUCCUAUACCUCUUAAUUCAUGCUGUUAGUGUCCCACUGAUAUUGUUUAAAGAUUGAAUUAAGUCAUAAUUCUGAAAAGCGGGAACAGAUGUUAUUAUAUUAGUCAAACUACCCUUAAGAGGAACAAAAGGACCUCAUUAGCUCUAUAACUUUAAUGUGUACUUGGGUGUAUGUGGGGAGAGAGACGUGGCUGAUCUUAUAUACUUAGCCCUCUCAUCUUUGCUGAGGACCCAUUGUGUGUCCCAUGGCCUAUAAAUCAGGGUUCUCAUGAUCCCCUUCUUGAGUUUGAUUAAUUUACUGAGCAGCUCACAGAACUCAGGGAAACACUUAUGUUUAAUACAUUUUAUUGUAAAAGAUAUUACAAAGGAUACAGCUGAAGAGAUGCAUAGGGUAAGGUUGAAUUUCAGAUUUCAUUUAUUAGUUGGAUUAGAGAAGAAUGGGAAGGGGACCAAUUAGAGAAAAAAAUCAUUGAAGUUUUUAGUAUUAAACAUUGUCAAGAAUCAGGAUUGUGUUCUAGAUUAUAGCCUCUUGGAGGUGGACUAAUUUUAUUUGCCAUUCUGUCUCCAGUGUAUAUAGUAUAAACCCUGCCACCUAGAUGGCUUGGUAAGAGGAUUACUGUGAAAAUUAAAUGAGUUAAUAUAUAAAAAGCAUUUAAAAUGGCAUAUAGUAAGCAAAAUGUAGUUUAAAAAUAUGACAUAGCUG